AGAGUUUGAUCCUGGCUCAGAACGAACGCUGGCGGUAUGCCUAACACAUGCAAGUCGAACGCGAACGGAAUCUUCGGAUUCCAAGUAGAGUGGCGCACGGGUGAGUAACACGUGGAUAAUCUGCCCUAAGGUCAGGGAUAACACUUCGAAAGGGGUGCUAAUACCGGAUAAGCUCACGCCUUCCUCGGAAGAAGUGAGAAAAGAUUUAUUGCCUUAGGAUGAGUCCGCGGUCCAUUAGCUAGUUGGUGGGGUAAUGGCCUACCAAGGCUGCGGUGGAUAGCUGGUCUGAGAGGAUGAUCAGCCACACUGGAACUGAGACACGGUCCAGACUCCUACGGGAGGCAGCAGUGGGGAAUUUUGCGCAAUGGGGGAAACCCUGACGCAGCAAUACCGCGUGAAGGAUGAAGGCCCUUGGGUCGUAAACUUCUGUCAGAGGGGAAGAAAUACUCGCAAGGGUGCUGACGGUACCCCUCAAAGGAAGCACCGGCUAACUCCGUGCCAGCAGCCGCGGUAAUACGGAGGGUGCAAGCGUUGUUCGGAAUUAUUGGGCGUAAAGAGCAUGUAGGCGGUCUGUUAAGUCUGGUGUGAAAGCCCGGGGCUCAACCCCGGAAAGUGCAUUGGAUACUGGCAGACUUGAGUAUGGGAGAGGGAAGUGGA
Molecule: ribosomal RNA, 657 nt
Filed under: uncultured bacterium
Lineage: Bacteria
Description: bacterial SSU rRNA
Rfam family: Bacterial small subunit ribosomal RNA
Source: RNAcentral